GGGUGGGUGAUGAGGCCUCAUACUGCCUUAAAGAGAUAUAAUGACUUGAAAAUCAUGCUCAAUAGGAUUACUCUGAGGCCC
Oryctolagus cuniculus (rabbit) is the source of this 81-nucleotide small nucleolar RNA. Its record names the gene SNORD115. It matches the Rfam family "Small nucleolar RNA SNORD115". From Rfam's summary of the family: HBII-52 is a member of the C/D class of snoRNAs, which contain the C (UGAUGA) and D (CUGA) box motifs. HBII-52 is encoded in a tandemly repeated array with another C/D snoRNA, HBII-85, in the Prader-Willi syndrome (PWS) region of chromosome 15. HBII-52 is exclusively expressed in the brain but is absent in PWS patients. The record is from Ensembl. NCBI's taxonomy places the organism in Eukaryota, Metazoa, Chordata, Mammalia, Lagomorpha, Leporidae.